Molecule: microRNA precursor, 90 nt
Filed under: Canis lupus familiaris (dog)
Lineage: Eukaryota; Metazoa; Chordata; Mammalia; Carnivora; Canidae
Also listed under: 1 other name
Description: mir-8799 microRNA precursor family
Rfam family: mir-8799 microRNA precursor family
Source: Rfam by way of RNAcentral
AGGGGGAGGCCGGAUCCUGGGCUGUGUCCCGGCGCUCUGUGCUCCCGGUCUGUGCUGUUGGAUUCGUGCUCCCGGGCCGCGCAGCCCCCU